Molecule: ribosomal RNA, 439 nt
Filed under: uncultured bacterium
Lineage: Bacteria
Description: bacterial SSU rRNA
Rfam family: Bacterial small subunit ribosomal RNA
Source: RNAcentral
AACGCGAAGAACCUUACCUGGGCUCGAAAUGCAGAGGAAGAUGCCAGAAAUGGUCUCGUCCGCAAGGACUUCUGUAUAGGUGCUGCAUGGCUGUCGUCAGCUCGUGCCGUGAGGUGUUUGGUUAAGUCCCGCAACGAGCGCAACCCUUGUCCUGUGUUGCCAUACCGAAAGGUGGAACUCGCAGGAGACCGCCAGGGAUAACCUGGAGGAGGGUGGGGAUGACGUCAAGUCCUCAUGGCCUUUAUGUCCAGGGCUACACACGUGCUACAAUGGACGGUACGAAGGGCUGCCAACCCGCGAGGGGGAGCCAAUCCCAAAAAACCGUUCUCAGUUCGGAUUGCAGGCUGCAACUCGCCUGCAUGAAGCUGGAAUCGCUAGUAAUGGCGGAUCAGAACGCCGCCGUGAAUACGUUCCCGGGCCUUGUACACACCGACGCGUA